This is a non-coding RNA of Paramormyrops kingsleyae, 975 nucleotides long. NCBI's taxonomy places the organism in Eukaryota, Metazoa, Chordata, Actinopteri, Osteoglossiformes, Mormyridae. The record is from RefSeq and is a predicted model, not a curated record.
UUGUACCUUGCAAGUGGUUUCCAGGACCAGAAGAAGAUACUUGUUACUGGCCACCAGGAAAAGUCAACAUCAGCAAGGCAGUGAAGGAAGAAAUUGGUCCAAGCGCAGACUGGCCACAGUUUAAAGUUCGUGUCUUGGGAAAAGCAGGAAACGAUGCCCAUGCAAUAACAAAACUUUUGAAGUCUGAGGCAAACUCUGACCUGCACACAGAGUCAGAAUCUGGAGGAGGAAUGGGGAAAGGGAAGCGGAGAAGGAGGUAAGACUAUUUCUCAAUCAUGACACAUUCAUGUACAUUGGCGAAAAGUCCUUUUCUCAUAACGCAAUGAUACUUUUGCAUUCUUUCCGUGAGAAACAUUGUUUUACACUAGAGUAAGUCAAAGAUGUUAAGAUUUGCUUCUGUUUCUUUUAUGCUUUUCAAGGCCAAGAAACCUAUCAAGUUCUGAUGAAGAAUCAGGCUGUACUAGGCAUCCACCAUCCGAUGCUGGGCAUCCACAUCCUCCAGUUACAGAGAAUCUGCUGUCAAAGGCUACUCACUCACUCGGCACCCGUCCCUUUGUCCAGUCACUUCCACCUUCAAGACCAGACACUCCCUGCAGACCUGUGCAAGGUGUAAGCUCUGCAUUUACAGAGGGCAUGUUUGCACGCCUCCUAACCAUCUUGGAGGAAAUCAAAGAGACACAGAGGAUUCAUGGGAAGAUGAUACAGUCGCUCCUCACGCAGCGUGACACGACCGUAAUGGCAGUGGCAGCCGUCCCUGAGGGUUCUGUAUUCACCCUGAAGACUGUAUCAGAUGUUGAAGCAAUGGAACAGAAAUUGGCAGACCCUACUUUCCACAAAGAAGUGGUUGCGGUGGUGGCAGAUAUUGGAGGGACUACCUUGGAUGAAGCCACAAGAAGAAUGAUGGCCUUCCUUAUGGACCACCCUUUGUCAAGAGAGUACAACUUUGUUGGGUGCCAUGGAAAGCGAGAAUUUUGG